GACGAACGCUGGCGGCGUGCCUAAUACGUGCAAGUAGAACGCGGAAGAGGGGAGCUUGCUCUUCUUGGAUGAGUUGCGAACGGGUGAGUAACGCGUAGGUAACCUGCCUUGUAGCGGGGGAUAACUAUUGGAAACGAUAGCUAAUACCGCAUAACAAUGGAUGACACAUGUCAUUUAUUUGAAAGGGGCAAUUGCUCCACUACAAGAUGGACCUGCGUUGUAUUAGCUAGUAGGUGAGGUAAUGGCUCACCUAGGCGACGAUACAUAGCCGACCUGAGAGGGUGCUCGGCCACACUGGUACUGAGACACGGCCCAGACUCCUACGGGAGGCAGCAGUAGGGAAUCUUCGGCAAUGGGGGCAACCCUGACCGAGCAACGCCGCGUGAGUGAAGAAGGUUUUCGGAUCGUAAAGCUCUGUUGUAAGUCAAGAACGUGUGUGAGAGUGGAAAGUUCACACUGUGACGGUAGCUUACCAGAAAGGGACGGCUAACUACGUG
This 497-nucleotide ribosomal RNA is filed under the name uncultured bacterium. RNAcentral's name for it is "partial 16S ribosomal RNA". It matches the Rfam family "Bacterial small subunit ribosomal RNA", at positions 28 to 507 of the family's 1533-position model. The record is from RNAcentral.